Molecule: ribosomal RNA, 465 nt
Filed under: Vreelandella stevensii
Lineage: Bacteria; Pseudomonadati; Pseudomonadota; Gammaproteobacteria; Oceanospirillales; Halomonadaceae
Description: partial 16S ribosomal RNA
Rfam family: Bacterial small subunit ribosomal RNA
Source: RNAcentral
CCUACGGGAGGCUGCAGUGGGGAAUAUUGGACAAUGGGCGAAAGCCUGAUCCAGCCAUGCCGCGUGUGUGAAGAAGGCCUUCGGGUUGUAAAGCACUUUCAGUGGGGAAGAAAGCCUUGGGGCUAAUACCCUCGAGGAAGGACAUCACCCACAGAAGAAGCACCGGCUAACUCCGUGCCAGCAGCCGCGGUAAUACGGAGGGUGCGAGCGUUAUUCGGAAUUACUGGGCGUAAAGCGCGCGUAGGCGGUCUGAUAAGCCGGUUGUGAAAGCCCCGGGCUCAACCUGGGAACGGCAUCCGGAACUGUCAGGCUAGAGUGCAGGAGAGGAAGGUAGAAUUCCCGGUGUAGCGGUGAAAUGCGUAGAGAUCGGGAGGAAUACCAGUGGCGAAGGCGGCCUUCUGGACUGACACUGACGCUGAGGUGCGAAAGCGUGGGUAGCAAACAGGAUUAGAUACCCGAGUAGUC